Molecule: ribosomal RNA, 459 nt
Filed under: Citrobacter braakii
Lineage: Bacteria; Pseudomonadati; Pseudomonadota; Gammaproteobacteria; Enterobacterales; Enterobacteriaceae
Description: bacterial SSU rRNA
Rfam family: Bacterial small subunit ribosomal RNA
Source: RNAcentral
AAAUUGAAGAGUUUGAUCAUGGCUCAGAUUGAACGCUGGCGGCAGGCCUAACACAUGCAAGUCGAACGGUAACACAGAGGAGCUUGCUCCUUGGGUGACGAGUGGCGGACGGGUGAGUAAUGUCUGGGAAACUGCCCGAUGGAGGGGGAUAACUACUGGAAACGGUAGCUAAUACCGCAUAACGUCGCAAGACCAAAGAGGGGGACCUUCGGGCCUCUUGCCAUCGGAUGUGCCCAGAUGGGAUUAGCUAGUAGGUGGGGUAACGGCUCACCUAGGCGACGAUCCCUAGCUGGUCUGAGAGGAUGACCAGCCACACUGGAACUGAGACACGGUCCAGACUCCUACGGGAGGCAGCAGUGGGGAAUAUUGCACAAUGGGCGCAAGCCUGAUGCAGCCAUGCCGCGUGUAUGAAGAAGGCCUUCGGGUUGUAAAGUACUUUCAGCGAGGAGGAAGGUGUUG